UAGGAGUUGAACAUGGAUUUUCAGGGCCCUU
Molecule: non-coding RNA, 31 nt
Filed under: Mus musculus (house mouse)
Lineage: Eukaryota; Metazoa; Chordata; Mammalia; Rodentia; Muridae
Source: RNAcentral